GGGGAUGAAAGGUUUCGACGUUCAGUCGUUUAACCGGAGAAGCGUGUCGAGAAUUUAAGGUGAUCUCGUUAAACACCCUUAAAAACAAAUAACUGCCAAAACUAAGCAGUCUGCUGACGCUUACGCACUCGCUGCGUAA
This 139-nucleotide transfer-messenger RNA is filed under the name Actinomycetota bacterium. Its description in RNAcentral is "Actinobacteria bacterium partial transfer-messenger RNA". It matches the Rfam family "transfer-messenger RNA", at positions 1 to 128 of the family's 374-position model. Rfam says of the family: Bacterial tmRNA, also known as 10Sa RNA or SsrA, is named for its dual tRNA and mRNA-like properties. Its role is to liberate the mRNA from a stalled ribosome. The record is from RNAcentral. Lineage: Bacteria; Bacillati; Actinomycetota.